This 468-nucleotide ribosomal RNA is filed under the name uncultured bacterium. RNAcentral describes it as "partial 16S ribosomal RNA". The stretch from base 56 to 468 matches the Rfam family "Bacterial small subunit ribosomal RNA", at positions 39 to 507 of the family's 1533-position model. The record is from RNAcentral.
GGGGGGGGGGGGGGGGGGGCGGGGGGGGGGGAGGGGGGGGGGGGGGGGCGGGGGGGUGGGGGGGGCGCGGGGGGGGAAGGGGGGGGUGGCAGGUGGGUCACCUGCCCUUGGCUUUGGGGUCCCUUCAGGAAACUGGGGCUAGUACCGGCUAGGAGCUCCUGCUGCAUGGGUGGGGUUGGCAAGUUUCGGCGGUUGGGGAUGGACUCGUGGCUUAUCCGCUUGUUGGUGGGGUAGUGGCUUACCCAGGCUUUGACGGGUAGCCGGCCUGAGAGGGUGACCGGCCACAUUGGGAAUGAGAUACGGCCCAGACUCAUACGGGAGGCAGCAGUGGGGAAUAUUGCACAAUGGGCGGAAGCCUGAUGCAGCAACGCCGCGUGCGGGAUGACGGCCUUCGGGUUGUAAACCGCUUUCGCCUGUGACGAAGCGUGAGUGACGGUAAUGGGUAAAGAAGCACCGGCUAACUACGUG